UACGUAGGGUGAGAGCGUUAAUCGGAAUUACUGGGCGUAAAGCGUGCGCAGGCGGUGAUGUAAGACCGAUGUGAAAUCCCCGGGCUUAACCUGGGAACUGCAUUGGUGACUGCAUUGCUCGAGUAUGGCAGAGGGGGGUGGAAUUCCACGUGUAGCAGUGAAAUGCGUAGAGAUGUGGAGGAACACCGAUGGCGAAGGCAGCCCCCUGGGCCAAUACUGACGCUCAUGCACGAAAGCGUGGGGAGCAAACAGG
Molecule: ribosomal RNA, 253 nt
Filed under: uncultured bacterium
Lineage: Bacteria
Description: partial 16S ribosomal RNA
Rfam family: Bacterial small subunit ribosomal RNA
Source: RNAcentral